CCUACGGGAGGCAGCAGUCGAGAAUCAUUCACAAUGGGGGAAACCCUGAUGGUGCGACGCCGCGUGGGGGAAUGAAGGUCUUCGGAUUGUAAACCCCUGUCAUGUGGGAGCAAAUUAAAAAGAUAGUACCACAAGAGGAAGAGACGGCUAACUCUGUGCCAGCAGCCGCGGUAAUACAGAGGUCUCAAGCGUUGUUCGGAAUCACUGGGCGUAAGGCGUGCGUAGGCUGUUUCGUAAGUCGUGUGUGAAAGGCGCGGGCUCAACCCGCGGACGGCACAUGAUAUUGCGAGACUAGAGUAAUGGAGGGGGAACCGGAAUUCGCGGUGUAGCAGUGAAAUGCGUAGAUAUCGAGAGGAACACUCGUGGCGAAGGCGGGUUCCUGGACAUUAACUGACGCUGAGGCACGAAGGCCAGGGGAGCGAAAGGGAUUAGAUACCCGAGUAGUC
RNAcentral lists this ribosomal RNA (446 nucleotides) under uncultured bacterium. RNAcentral describes it as "partial 16S ribosomal RNA". It matches the Rfam family "Bacterial small subunit ribosomal RNA", at positions 338 to 795 of the family's 1533-position model. The record is from RNAcentral.